AGGAAGCCCGGGAAGCCUCUGCCUCAGACAUGCCACUGCUGCUACUGCUGCCCCUGCUGUGGGCAGGGGCCCUGGCUAUGGAUCCAAAAAUCCGGCUGCAAGUGCAGGAGUCAGUGACGGUACAGGAGGGUUUGUGCGUCCUCGUGCCCUGCACUUUCUCCCAUCCCAUACCCUACUACAACAGGAAUUUCUCAGUUCAUGGUUACUGGUUCCGGGAAGGAGCCAUUGUAUCCAGGGACUCUCCAGUGGCCACAAACAAGCUAGAUCAAGAAGUACAGGAGGAGACUCAGGGCUGAUUCCGCCUCCUUGGGGAUCCCAGUAAGAACAACUGCUCCCUGAGCAUCGUAGACGCCAGGAGGAGGGAUAAUCGUUCAUACUUCUUUCGGAUGGAGAGAGGAAGUACCAAACACAGUUACAAAUCUCCCCAGCUCUCUGUGCAUGUGACAGCCCUGACCCACAGGCCCAGCAUCUUCAUCCCGAGGACCCUGGAAUCUGGCCACCCCAGGAACCUGACCUGCUCUGUGCCCUCGGCCUGUGAGCAGGG
RNAcentral lists this long non-coding RNA (544 nucleotides) under Homo sapiens (human). RNAcentral's name for it is "novel transcript". Lineage: Eukaryota; Metazoa; Chordata; Mammalia; Primates; Hominidae. The record is from RNAcentral.